Long non-coding RNA from Humulus lupulus (European hop), 2721 nucleotides. RefSeq lists it as uncharacterized. Lineage: Eukaryota; Viridiplantae; Streptophyta; Magnoliopsida; Rosales; Cannabaceae. The record is from RefSeq and is a predicted model, not a curated record. The transcript has 2 exons.
UUUCCUGAACUUUCUUGGGAUGUGAUGUGACAAGUAUAUAUAUUUCCUGUCAUAAUAGAUUUAAAAAAUAAAUAAAUAACCUAUGAUAGUAUAUAGUUGCCCUAUAAGCCUAAUUGGGAAAUGAAAACCAUCACAUGCAGAACUCAUGCUCAUACAUGACAAGAAAUUUCUUUCUAGGGAAAAAAAUAAAUAAAUAAAGCCCGUAUACUGCAUGAAGACUAUCGAUAUUAUUCAAGGUUUUCAAUUAUUAUUAAAUCAUAUUGUCCCCAAUAAAUUUUAGUUACAUGUCAAUAGAGAAUUAUCCUUUUCAACGUUAUUUUACAUGAAAAGAUGAACAAUAAUACUUUUCUAUUUUUUAUCCGCUUUCCUUCUUGGGCUAUUCAAAUGUAUUGUAUAUAUGAAUAUCAUUUUCAUAUCUCAUAUGAUCUUAAGUUUUGUUUUAAAAAAUUAUUUUUACUUCAUUUGCUUCGAUAAUCGGUUGUGGCUACACCUAGGAUCGCAAACUUUAUUAUAAUUUUUUUAUUUACUUUUUUGCAUAUGCCUAAAGCCCAAUUAUUUCGUCGAUUGAUCGGUAUUUCAGUAAGCGGAAUAGAUAGCAGUAUAAGCAACUUUUGAACAGUUUUAUUAUUUAAUUAUAACAAUCUAAAUAUAGAACAAUAACAUAUAUUUGGGCAGUUCAUGAAGACUCUCUCAUGCAUAUAAAAGAAGUUAGAAUUAACUCGUUGUUUUUCAUGCAUACCAUGUGCUGAGUUCUGGCUUAUAAUAAACUUUAUUUAGUUAAAGAUGACUGAAUUCUAAGACGAAAAGAUGGAAGACAGAAAAAAAGUUCAAAAACUAGAAUUAAAUAUUAUUACUAUUCUUGAGCCUAAACUAAGACAAACACAUAUUUAUGGUCCAAAAUUAAAUGAUGAAUAACAGACAAAUAUAAGAUAUAACAAUUUUUUUAUUACUUACAGGAUUAUUCAUGUUUUUUUUUUCAGUACUAUGGAUUAUAUUUCUCGAUUAUUUAGUUUCCUUAGGUUUAAUUGCCUUUGUUUUUAAUUGUCUAUAUAAGGCUAUUCAUUAUUUAUUAUUUUCAAAGUAUCUUCUUUUUUUUUAUUAUUUAUUUUUGAAGAUUAUCUCAUGUUUUAUAUCUUAUAAUUCUAUUUCAUGUCUUCAUAUUUCUUUUCUUUCAAUAAUUUUUUUUCUGAAGAAUUUAAUAUCUCUAUUCUUUUACAAUACUCUUCUGUUUCUUCUCUUUCCUAUUUUCUCUCAACAUCCAGGAUAUAUAGUGAAAGUUUCUUCCUUUUAUUUAUUUUUUUCCUUUUAUACUAAAAUUUAAAAUAUAAAAUAAAAUAAAAUCGAGAUCCAUUGAUUAUGACAAUCUAAGAAUUAUAGUUUAUUGACCAUGAUGCAAUUAAUUACAUCUUGGAAAUGGAAGGAACAUAGGGUAGGGCAGCCUAAAUGUUGGGGUCUUGGUGUAACAAGAAUCCCCAAAUAAGGUUAUGAUGUUUUCCACGUUACUUGAUUUAUCCAAUCGAACCCCAAAAUUAAAAAUAUUGUACUGUCUGCUUAGUCCCUCUACCAUGUUGAAUUCAAACACACAAUAUUUCUAUCUUAAGAGUCUUCUCCACCAUCUACCAUAUUUGACUUUCUCAUCCAUAAAAGUUGGUUUUUUUAAGGAACAAAAACAAAAGUAUGUUUGACUAAAUCGACUGAGAGGCCCCAACCAGCACCAUACGAGAUCUGUAAUUACAGACACAGAUCCCCAAGAUUUUGUUUUCAGUACCAUGAAAGUCCUUAUUGUUUUUAUGCAAAUCCCAAUUGGAUGCAUUAAGGUUUGAGUCUUAUCAACGAGUGAUACAUUUUAUCAUAGUAAUCUCAUUAAACCAUGUGUUUAAGACAUACUUUCCACUGGUACUUCAUUCAGUAUUAUUCUAGAUUUGGUAUUCACCAUUUUAUGAGUGAAUAUAUAUAAUAUAGUGAACCAGAAGAACUAUAUUUUCUUAGGUUAAAGACAUAUUAUAUAUAUUUAUGAAAAGAAUUAAAGUCCGGUAUUAUUAGUUGUUAAUGUGAGGUAUUUUAUAAAAACAUAUGAUUCUACGAGGUACUAAACCCUUCAGAUUAUUAUCUCGAAGACAUGGCACUGGUUUCCAUCAGCUGGUGUUGAUCAUUACCUUUUAUAUGGAAGACAAUGUGCUCUUUCGUCCACUCCCAUCCAUAACGAUUCUUGGAAAGAAGAAGGCCAGGGGAUUAGAUGGAUAUAGGGGCAGGUAGCAGAAAUGAUUACUGGAUUUCAAGUGGAGAUUUUAGAGAAUAAUCAGCUUGGUUGCUUGUGCAAAUAAUCAAUCACCCUAAGAUGGCACGUCACUGGCACUCGAGCAUGCAAUGCGAGCUCGAAGGCUGAGGUUCCCUCCGAAGGAUAGUCUCGAAAGUCUGACGGUAAGGAGGUGGUGUUAAUGUUCCGAUGAGCUCGAAACAUGAAGCAGGCUCAAAAGAACGUUGGAGUAACAACGUGUAUGCAAUUAUAAAUCCCUACAAUCAUGGGCUUAGUUAAAACCGUAUGUAAACAACCCUAUUUUUUAAGGGAUGUUUAUUUUAUUAAUACAUUUGAUUGUAUUUUAAUAUAUUCUUUUGUAUUUUAAAUUUAAAUGAGAUAUCUUGUAACAUCCCUAAAAUUAAGGGAAGAAUAUUCUGUAAAUCAGGUCUAUAAAUAGCAUAAAUUUAGUCAUUUAUUUCCUA